Molecule: long non-coding RNA, 334 nt
Organism: Herpailurus yagouaroundi (jaguarundi)
Lineage: Eukaryota; Metazoa; Chordata; Mammalia; Carnivora; Felidae
Exons: 4
Source: RefSeq, a predicted model, not a curated record
GAGUGCUGGGAGGUAAAAAGGGAGAACCUCUGGACCUUGUUCCUGACUGUGUAUGUAUCUUUCCCAUCUUAGGAAGCUUUAAAUGACACUGUGAACUGGCUGCAAAGAAGAAUCAGCUAGCAGCUGCAGGCAACAAAUUGAACAAACACGGGAACAGCUGCAGCAGGCAGAGCUCACCUUUAGAUACCAGUUCAUGAGAAGAAUGCUCAGGACAACGAGGGAUGACACCUGCACUGUUAGUUGUCUAGUAGACGACGUGGUGUUGCAACUCUUAUAGAAGUCCAUUAUUUUUCUGUAUCCAAGACUGGACGGGAUGGAACCAAAGAGGCUGCCU